This 447-nucleotide ribosomal RNA is filed under the name uncultured bacterium. RNAcentral's name for it is "partial 16S ribosomal RNA". It matches the Rfam family "Bacterial small subunit ribosomal RNA", at positions 29 to 523 of the family's 1533-position model. The record is from RNAcentral.
AACGAACGCUGGCGGCAGGCCUAAUACAUGCAAGUCGAGCGCCCAGCAAUGGGAGCGGCGCACGGGUGCGUAACGCGUGGGAAUAUGCCUCUUGGUACGGAACAACCCAGGGAAGCUUGGGCUAAUACCGUAUAAUAUCUUCGGAUCAAAGAUUUAUCGCCAAGAGAUUAGCCCGCGUCUGAUUAGCUAGUUGGUGGGGUAAAGGCUCACCAAGGCGACGAUCAGUAGCUGGUCUUAGAGGAUGAUCAGCCACACUGGAGCUGAGACACGGUCCAGACUCCUACGGGAGGCAGCAGUAAGGAAUAUUGGAUAAUGGGGGAAACCCUGAUCCAGCCAUGCCGCGUGAGUGAUGAAGGUCUUAGGAUUGUAAAGCUCUUUCACCGAUGAAGAUAAUGACGGUAGUCGGAGAAGAAGCCCCGGCUAACUUCGUGCCAGCCGCCGCCGUAA